This 508-nucleotide ribosomal RNA is filed under the name uncultured bacterium. Its description in RNAcentral is "partial 16S ribosomal RNA". It matches the Rfam family "Bacterial small subunit ribosomal RNA", at positions 28 to 507 of the family's 1533-position model. The record is from RNAcentral.
GACGAACGCUGGCGGCGUGCCUAAUACAUGCAAGUCGAGCGCUUCUUUCCUCCCGAGUGCUUGCACUCAAUUGGAAAGAGGAGUGGCGGACGGGUGAGUAACACGUGGGUAACCUACCCAUCAGAGGGGGAUAACACUUGGAAACAGGUGCUAAUACCGCAUAACAGUUUAUGCCGCAUGGCAUAAGAGUGAAAGGCGCUUUCGGGUGUCGCUGAUGGAUGGACCCGCGGUGCAUUAGCUAGUUGGUGAGGUAACGGCUCACCAAGGCCACGAUGCAUAGCCGACCUGAGAGGGUGAUCGGCCACACUGGGACUGAGACACGGCCCAGACUCCUACGGGAGGCAGCAGUAGGGAAUCUUCGGCAAUGGACGAAAGUCUGACCGAGCAACGCCGCGUGAGUGAAGAAGGUGUUCGGAUCGUAAAACUCUGUUGUUAGAGAAGAACAAGGACGUUAGUAACUGAACGUCCCCUGACGGUAUCUAACCAGAAAGCCACGGCUAACUACGUG